GACGAACGCUGGCGGCGUGCUUAACACAUGCAAGUCGAACGGAAAGGCCCUGCUUUUGUGGGGUGCUCGAGUGGCGAACGGAUGAGUAACACGUGAGUAACCUGCCCUUGACUUUGGGAUAACUUCAGGAAACUGGGGCUAAUACCGGAUAGGAGCUCCUGCUGCAUGGUGGGGGUUGGAAAGUUUCGGCGGUUGGGGAUGGACUCGCGGCUUAUCAGGUUGUUGGUGGGGUAGUGGCUUACCAAGGCUUUGACGGGUAGCCGGCCUGAGAGGGUGACCGGCCACAUUGGGACUGAGAUACGGCCCAGACUCCUACGGGAGGCAGCAGUGGGGAAUAUUGCACAAUGGGCGGAAGCCUGAUGCAGCAACGCCGCGUGCGGGAUGACGGCCUUCGGGUUGUAAACCGCUUUCGCCUGUGACGAAGCGUGAGUGACGGUAAUGGGUAAAGAAGCACCGGCUAACUACGUG
Molecule: ribosomal RNA, 468 nt
Filed under: uncultured bacterium
Lineage: Bacteria
Description: partial 16S ribosomal RNA
Rfam family: Bacterial small subunit ribosomal RNA
Source: RNAcentral